This is a long non-coding RNA of Etheostoma spectabile (orangethroat darter), 239 nucleotides long. RefSeq lists it as uncharacterized. The record is from RefSeq and is a predicted model, not a curated record. The transcript has 2 exons. NCBI's taxonomy places the organism in Eukaryota, Metazoa, Chordata, Actinopteri, Perciformes, Percidae.
CAAGUGUUUUGUACAUGGAAAAGCCCAGCAAUUAUCUACAACUCUCAACCAUGAUUGUAUUCAUUUGAAGUACACUUUUAGGUAACUGCAUGUUACAGUGCUGCUCAUAAGCACACAUGUUGCUGCAGGGACAGAGCUGAGCACAAUAUCAAUGACCUACUACUGGAUCAGCUAGUUUUGAUUGGCAAUGAACACAUGUACAGUACUAACUGUAGAUAAUAAAGUCAGAAGGAAAAGAU